Molecule: ribosomal RNA, 433 nt
Filed under: uncultured bacterium
Lineage: Bacteria
Description: bacterial SSU rRNA
Rfam family: Bacterial small subunit ribosomal RNA
Source: RNAcentral
AACGCGAAGAACCUUACCAAGGCUUGACAUGUAGAGGAAAAGUGCAGAGAUGCACUCCCCGCAAGGUCUCUACACAGGUGGUGCAUGGUUGUCGUCAGCUCGUGUCGUGAGAUGUUGGGUUAAGUCCCGCAACGAGCGCAACCCUCGUCCUAUGUUGCCAGCACGUUAUGGUGGGAACUCAUGGGAUACUGCCGGGGUCAACUCGGAGGAAGGUGGGGAUGACGUCAAAUCAUCAUGCCCCUUAUGUCUUGGGCUUCACGCAUGCUACAAUGGCCAGUACAGAGGGCUGCAAUACCGUAAGGUGGAGCGAAUCCCAAAAAGCUGGUCUCAGUUCGGAUUGAGGUCUGCAACUCGACCUCAUGAAGUCGGAGUCGCUAGUAAUCGUAGAUCAGCAACGCUACGGUGAAUACGUUCCCGGGUCUUGUACACACCG